RNAcentral lists this ribosomal RNA (440 nucleotides) under uncultured bacterium. Its description in RNAcentral is "partial 16S ribosomal RNA". It matches the Rfam family "Bacterial small subunit ribosomal RNA", at positions 338 to 795 of the family's 1533-position model. The record is from RNAcentral.
CCUACGGGUGGCAGCAGUGGGGAAUAUUGCACAAUGGGGGAAACCCUGAUGCAGCAACGCCGCGUGAGUGAAGAAGUAUUUCGCUAUGUAAAGCUCUAUCAGCAGGGAAGAAAAUGACAGUACCUGACUAAGAAGCCCCGGCUAACUACGUGCCAGCAGCCGCGGUAAUACGUAGGGGGCAAGCGUUAUCCGGAUUUACUGGGUGUAAAGGGAGCGUAGACGGCUGCGCAAGUCUGAAGUGAAAGCCCGGGGCUCAACCGCGGGACUGCUUUGGAAACUGUUAAGCUGGAGUGCAGGAGAGGUAAGUGGAAUUCCUAGUGUAGCGGUGAAAUGCGUAGAUAUUAGGAGGAACACCAGUGGCGAAGGCGGCUUACUGGACUGUAACUGACGUUGAGGCUCGAAAGCGUGGGGAGCAAACAGGAUUAGAUACCCUUGUAGUC